RNAcentral lists this unclassified non-coding RNA (462 nucleotides) under Hevea brasiliensis (rubber tree). Lineage: Eukaryota; Viridiplantae; Streptophyta; Magnoliopsida; Malpighiales; Euphorbiaceae. The record is from RNAcentral.
GAAUUCCCUCCAAAAAGCAAGCUAAACUAUAAACAAUUUGGCGAUCAGAACAGUUCAAUAACAAAAGAACAUAUAGAGAAUAAAUUACAUGGAAUGAGUUUAGAUGAGGCAAUAGAGAAGAACAAGUUAUUCAUAUUGGAUUACCAUGAUGUGCUGAUGCCAUACCUGAGGCUGAUAAAUGAGGAAACUUCCACAAAGAUUUAUGCAUCAAGAACACUCCUUUUCUUGAAAGAAGAUGGAACCCUGAAGCCACUUGCAAUUGAAUUAAGUUUGCCUCAUCCUGAGGGAGAUCAAUUUGGAGCAGUAAGCAAUGUAUACACACCUGCUGAACAUGGAAUUGAAGGCUCCAUCUGGAAACUGGCUAAAGCUUUUGUGACUGUAAAUGACUCAGGAUGUCAUCAGCUGAUUAGUCACUGGUUGAACACGCAUGCAGUGAUUGAACCAUUUGUGAUUGCAACAAAU